RNAcentral lists this ribosomal RNA (465 nucleotides) under uncultured bacterium. RNAcentral describes it as "partial 16S ribosomal RNA". It matches the Rfam family "Bacterial small subunit ribosomal RNA", at positions 338 to 795 of the family's 1533-position model. The record is from RNAcentral.
CCUACGGGAGGCAGCAGUGGGGAAUAUUGCGCCAUGGGCGAAAGCCUGACGCAGCGACGCCGCGUGAGGGAUGAAGGUCUUCGGAUCGUAAACCUCUGUCAGCAGGGAAGAACGGUCACUGUGCUAAUCAGCAGUCACUUGACGGUACCUGCACAGGAAGCACCGGCUAACUCCGUGCCAGCAGCCGCGGUAAUACGGAGGGUGCGAGCGUUAAUCGGAAGUACUGGGCGUAAAGCGCUCGUAGGCGGGAUGGCAAGUCAAGGGUGAAAUCCCCGCGCUCAACGUGGGAACUGCCUUUGAAACUGGCAAACUGGAGUGUGGGAGAGGAUAGUGGAAUUCCAGGUGUAGGAGUGAAAUCCGUAGAUAUCUGGAGGAACAUCAGUGGCGAAGGCGACUAUCUGGCACAUAACUGACGCUGAGGAGCGAAAGCGUGGGUAGCAAACAGGAUUAGAUACCCCAGUAGUC